CUAACGAGGAUUUCCUUAGUAACGGCGAGUGAAAAGGAAAAAGCCCAGCGCUGAAUCCAAUAGAUUAUUAUUGCUAUUUGGAAAUGUAGCGUAUAGGUGUAAUUAAUCGUAACAUAUUUUUACACCCAAAGUCCCCUUGAGCGGGGCUACAGUCCAUAGAAGGUGCUAGACCUGUACGGGUGAAAAAAGUUACGAUACGAUUGCACUUUGGAGUCGAGUUGUUUGAGAUUGCAGCUCAAAGAGGGUGAUAAACCUCAUCUAAGGCUAAAUACGACCACGAGACCGAUAGCAAACAAGUACCGUGAGGGAAAGUUGCAAAGAACUUUGAAGAGAGAGUUCAAGAGGGCGUGAAACCGCUGAGAUGGAAACGGAUAGAGUUAACGAAACUUGUAUCGGUAUUCAACCAAUCAAAUUUAGCAAUUUUAAUUAUUCAUUUAUUCAUUAUUUAUAAUUAUAAUGGAUAGUGAUAAUUAAGAUUUCUAUGCUAGAUUUAUAAUUAUAUAAAAUGAUUGGUGUAUUUACCGAUGGUAUGCAUCGAGAGCUUCGUUUAAUAAGCAUAUUUAAUGCAAUAUUUAGUGGACCAAUUAUUCAAAAAUAUUAAUAAUAAUUGGAUAUCUAAAUAUGUUAAAAAGAUAUGUCUUAAAUGAAGUUUUAUUUCCCAAAUUAAUAUGUAACUCUAUCAUUUAUUAUUAUGAAUAAUGAUAAUAAAUAUUGAUACAUGCAUUGAUUAUAAUUUUUUUUUUUCAAUUAUUUUUMMUGGGGGGAYGSGUWUGCGRGAUUAAAUSUGRUAAAAAUUAACUKUARAAAAUGUUAAUCGCCAUSYUUUUUUUUCUGAGUUACAUCUCGAUGUGAACGUUAAUCACCUAUCUGACCCGUCUUGAAACACGGCCCAAGGAGU
This 898-nucleotide ribosomal RNA is filed under the name Cruorifilaria tuberocauda. RNAcentral's name for it is "partial 28S ribosomal RNA". It matches the Rfam family "Eukaryotic large subunit ribosomal RNA", at positions 65 to 674 of the family's 3401-position model. The record is from RNAcentral. Lineage: Eukaryota; Metazoa; Nematoda; Chromadorea; Rhabditida; Onchocercidae.